GUGGGAUGACGUCAAGUCAGCAUGGCCUUUAUGUCCUGGGCUACACGACACGCUACAAUGGCCGGUACAAUAGGUUGCGAAGCCGCGAGGCGGAGCCAAUCCUCAAAGCCGGCCUCAGUUCAGAUUGCAGGCUGCAACCCGCCUGCAUGAAGAUGGAGUUGCUAGUAACCGCAGGUCAGCUAUACUGCGGUGAAUACGUUCCCGGGGCCUU
Molecule: ribosomal RNA, 211 nt
Filed under: uncultured Levilinea sp.
Lineage: Bacteria; Bacillati; Chloroflexota; Anaerolineae; Anaerolineales; Anaerolineaceae
Description: partial 16S ribosomal RNA
Rfam family: Bacterial small subunit ribosomal RNA
Source: RNAcentral